Long non-coding RNA from Ruditapes philippinarum (Manila clam), 1500 nucleotides. RefSeq lists it as uncharacterized. The transcript has 2 exons. NCBI's taxonomy places the organism in Eukaryota, Metazoa, Mollusca, Bivalvia, Venerida, Veneridae. The record is from RefSeq and is a predicted model, not a curated record.
UUCAAACAAACACAUUGUAGAAAGUAUAACAGUUUUAAGAAAAUUGAACCUUUAUAUACUUUUAAGAUCCGCAAAAUGUAUUCUGACAAAGAUACUGGCUUCAGUGUCAUUUUUUUAUACCAUUUAAGUUCUUAAAAGGGAUUGUGAGUACUGUAUAUGUGAAAAAUUUCCUAGGAUCAGUUUGGAGGAGGUAUAAAUUCACUCCGUUCAUAUUAUCAAAUAUGUUUUAGUUCCGAUCGUUGAAGAUCGUUCAGGACGACAUAAUUGUUGUGAAUACAUGUUAUGUGAUAUUUUAAUUUUCUUCUGUUUGACCGUUUCAUCUUGGGUGAGUCCAGUAUUCCUACUGGAAUACUGUAUAAUCAUCCAUAGGAUAUAUAUUUUUCCUCCUUUUUAAAUUUGUCUUUUAACGUCUUGUCUGCGAUAUGCAGCUUUCAUCACUUCAGAUCCCCUUUUAAAAUGCCACUAUGUGCAGUUCCACCCAUUGUUUUCUCGUUUUAGGGUACACGUAUGUUUUAUUUUUAAUUGGGUACCAUACGCCGUCUGUCAUGCAAUGGCACUAAUCAGCUACAUUGAAGUUUCUAAGUAACCCACCCUACGAAAACAUUUGCGGAUGUUUGUAAAUUUAAAAUUUAACUAUUACCAUGAUUUAAAGCUAAAUUUUGCUCAGACACUUGCUAGGAGCGUGGAAGGUUACUUGCACUUUACAGUUUCGUCCAUGAACAGACUUAUUCAAACCAAGUCUGCAGCAUUCUCAAUUUUGACGGUUUGAGCGUAAUUUCGAAAUUCCGUUUUUUCUCUAUUUUACAUUUUUAGAAGCAGAAGCAUAUUUUGAAUUUGUGUUUUCUCGUUUAAAGACAUGCUGCUUUAACGAAGGCAAACUGAGAAUAGUCCUCAACAAUCAUAACAUAAUUUGGUAACAUAUUAUUUUAUUUCUCAUUCUCUAUCUUUACGAGUUCAAGGAUAUAACAUCAAAUUAAGAUGCAUUGUUUAUUGUCCUAUCCUAAGAUAUUUACGGAAUAUGCAUAAUUAUGUGACCAUUUUGUUUCCUUAUUGAAACACGCAGUUUAUAUUAAUGUUAAUGCUUUCAAAAAUAAUAAUUGUGCAUAUAAUUAACAUUAUCGUAUUGUUUGAUAGCUGUCAAGUCUGUUCAGUCGAAUUUAUAAGCAUUGGUACUUAAAGGACAUUGCCAUUUGGAUAACACCCUACCUGGCGGUCUAGUAAAAGGAUACAAGGAGAAAAUGAAGCCGAAUUUUGUGAAAAUUUGUUUCGUUAUUCUCUUGUUAUCAAGUUUUGCAUCUACUUUGGUUUCGUCGGCAAUUUGGCAAUGGAUUGAUCCAAAACAUCCGAAGGCCGUGGCAUCCAAAGAACGUAUUGCACAAGAGCUUGGUAGACGUCCUAUCAAGUGUAUAUUUGCCCUUGAAAGAGUUGACCCAGCAAUUUAUACAGAGGAAUUUCGAAUUAGAUUUGAAGCUGUUCGGAUUGUUAACCCAAGUAUAGUGG